GCAUAACGCGAAGAACCUUACCAGGUCUUGACAUCCCUCUGACCGAUCCUUAACCGGAUCUUCUCUUCGGAGCAGAGGUGACAGGUGGUGCAUGGUUGUCGUCAGCUCGUGUCGUGAGAUGUUGGGUUAAGUCCCGCAACGAGCGCAACCCCUAUCCUUAGUAGCCAGCAGUUCGGCUGGGCACUCUAGGGAGACUGCCAGGGAUAACCUGGAGGAAGGCGGGGAUGACGUCAAAUCAUCAUGCCCCUUAUGAUCUGGGCUACACACGUGCUACAAUGGUGACUACAAAGGGAAGCAACCCCGCGAGGGUAAGCAAAUCCCAAAAAGGUCAUCCCAGUUCGGAUUGUAGUCUGCAACUCGACUACAUGAAGCUGGAAUCGCUAGUAAUCGCGAAUCAGAAUGUCGCGGUGAAUACGUUCCCGGGUCUUGUACACACCG
This 438-nucleotide ribosomal RNA is filed under the name uncultured bacterium. RNAcentral describes it as "bacterial SSU rRNA". It matches the Rfam family "Bacterial small subunit ribosomal RNA", at positions 954 to 1392 of the family's 1533-position model. The record is from RNAcentral.